UUCCUCUCGUCUCACCGGCUCUCUCUUCCUCUCUGUUCUGCUCCGCACACCACCAACAUCUCUGUCGUGCUCUGUUCUCCCUCGCCGAUUCAUUCCGGUGAGGUGAGUUGUUUGUGUUGCGGAUUUGCUCCGCCACCUUCCUUACUCUGCCUCCCUCUUGUUCUUCGCGUCGUUGUCGCUGUCGCCACCGACGGUGGCGUUUCGGGAUCUCCGUGCUGGCUACAGUUCUUGAUUGCCACCACCGCGGGACCCAUGGCUGGCAGUUAACCGGCGACGUGAGGUCGCUGCGGCAAGUGGUUAUUGUUGAUUGAUGUUGUUGCCAGGUGUUGUUACUGUUCCUCUGCCUCACUCCUUCCUCCCUAAGAUCUUGGGUUAUUUGAUGAAGAACGAAUAAGGGGAAUCGAAUCAUGGAAUUAAGCGGAGAAUGAUGAUUGAAUAAGUCUUGAGAUUCAUGUGUAGCGAUUCGAGAGUUAAAAUGUUUUGCAGGCAGCGAGAAUCAAGUCUCAGUUCAGGUUCAAGGUGCGUAGAAGUCCUCCAGAGGCCUUAUAUGUUUCAAGGAGGGCAUGUGGAUUCUCCAAGUGUAUUUAAGUCCUUCCUAAUUUAUUAAUGGAUUGUAUAAUUUGUUUCUAGAGUUUUUUUUCUUUGGGUUAUUAUUUAUGGAUUAUAUAUCCUUGUUGAGUUGGUGUCACUCCAAUGAUGUUUUUGGGAGAUGUUAUAUGCUGGAAUGAUGAAAUAGCAGGUGAAAGAAAAUCUGACGUAAUUUCCUAAACAGUAUUUUAGGUCGUCCAUAUUUAGGGGAAGUACUGCCGAAAUUUUUAAUAACUAAUUAAGUUUAAGGGUCUUGAUUAGUGUCUUUGAGAUAGGCUAAACCGUGAUUAAAUCCUUGAAGUUGUUUGAAGGGUUAAAGUUUGUUUAGCAGGGUUUAAAGUUGUAAUUAUAUUGAGUUUGUUUAA
Spinacia oleracea (spinach) is the source of this 953-nucleotide long non-coding RNA. RefSeq lists it as uncharacterized. The record is from RefSeq and is a predicted model, not a curated record. The transcript has 4 exons. Lineage: Eukaryota; Viridiplantae; Streptophyta; Magnoliopsida; Caryophyllales; Amaranthaceae.